Molecule: ribosomal RNA, 253 nt
Filed under: uncultured bacterium
Lineage: Bacteria
Description: partial 16S ribosomal RNA
Rfam family: Bacterial small subunit ribosomal RNA
Source: RNAcentral
GACGAACCGUGCAAACGUUGUUCGGAAUCCCUGGGCUUAAAGGGCGCGUAGGCGGGCAGGCAAGUCUGGGGUGAAAUCUUUCGGCUUAACCGGAAAAGUGCCUUGGAUACUGCUUGUCUCGAGGGAGGUAGGGGCAGAUGGAACUUCCGGUGGAGCGGUGAAAUGCGUUGAUAUCGGAAGGAACGCCGGUGGCGAAAGCGAUCUGCUGGACCUCUUCUGACGCUGAGGCGCGAAAGCUAGGGGAGCAAACAGG